Molecule: long non-coding RNA, 1854 nt
Organism: Homo sapiens (human)
Lineage: Eukaryota; Metazoa; Chordata; Mammalia; Primates; Hominidae
Product: long intergenic non-protein coding RNA 1206
Source: Ensembl
AGUUGUAACCGAUAGACUGGGCUGGGGCAACGCUGAUGAAAGGCAAAUUCCUGAGAGAAAAAUCACCCAGAUUUUUCAGUGCCUUCUCUAGCUUUCUAGAAGUUGUUAUGAGUGGACCUGACUACCUAGAGAGAGUAAUACAGAAGCUCCGUGCCGAUCACAGCUACCUCAUUACCAUGUUCCUCCAAGAUGGCCGCCCCUGAGGAGAAUCAUCAACUGGGCUUUACGGAAGAGAGAAAUCCAAACGACCAUCAGCAACAAAUGAAAGACUGAAGUUGAAAGUUUCAAGAUUGUCAAGAAUGACGAGUUGGACUUGGUCUAGUUACUUCCACAGCAGCAGGAGGAACAUGUGUGUGACUCAGGAUAACUGGGGAAGCCUUGGCUAGGCUUUCCUCAUGUCAACCUACCACUCAAAGGGAGAAAACCUCCUGAUCAGAGGAAAUCCAUAAUUUUUGAAUGCUGGCCGAGGUCUGUGACCUCUGACUGAAUGGUUUCCAAGCUCCGAAUUCCUAGGUGAUGUUUUCAUUUGUUCACACUUGCUGAAGAAGGGAAAGGCUCUCUGAUUUACGUGUAAGCAAAACAAUCUAAACAGUAGGAUAAAAUCAUGUUGGAAUGGAGUUCUGUGUGGAUGCUCCUUUGAACCAAAUCAGUUCCACAACUGACCCUGUCAGGGACAUAUAAAUUUAGCAUUUUGGUGUGGAUACAGAAGACGAGAUUAACACAGAUCAAGUAACAUGGAAAUAAAAAAGGAGACAAUGCUGGAUGAUACAGGGGCAGCCAACAAGAGGAGAAAACCCAAGCAUUGGCAAAUGCCUCAUUAUCCAAAGAACACUCCUUAUACUCCUGAGAAUUUGUGGCAGUCCUGGGUUAAACGAUGAAGGCUUCUUAUUCUCAUGUAGGUCUCACAGCCUCUUGUCUCCCUGAGUUUUAAACACAUUGCAUUACCUUUCCAGAGGUAAAAGAAAGCCUGAGGAGGCUUUCCCCUCUGAGUUUUUCCGUGGAUUGCUGGACUCUGAGGCCCUCAUUCCUCUUGCAGGAGGUGUGGAGCAAAACUGUGUUGAAUGAACUGUAGAUGGAAAUUCUCUCCUUCCCACCGAGGAGCCGCUGCAGGUUGCAGACUCCCAGAAUGCCACACUGAGAAGAGGAGGGCUAAAAUUCUAGAGCAGAAUCCCUGGGGCAGCCCCUGCUGAAGAAGGGUGCAUCUGUUGAGAAUCUCAUCACCGCCCCCACCCCGCCCAGCCUUCAAUUUAGAGGAAUUUCUAGUUCACGCAGAAUGAAGACAAGAUCACAUAAGUGAGGACGACGCCCCAUUUACAAGUGUGAUUUGGAAGACUGAAGUGGAAACCUUGGGAAGGGGCCUCAGAGUAUGUCAGCUGGGGUCAGACGGGAACAGGAGUCUGGCUCAACACACAUUUAUUGCACUCCUGUUUCAUGCCAAGAAAUGUACCAAAAUCUGGGACUGUGUAACACAGCAAAGGAAAAGACUCAUCUCCAGGAAGCCCCCUUGUCUAGGAAGAGAAAUUGAAUAUCAGCAUAAGGUGGUGAAAAGCUGUGAAGGAGAUGAGUGCCAGGAGUCCAUGGAGGAAGGAUUCUAGCCUGGACAGAGUCUCCAUGAAUUGCAAGGGAAAACAAGUGGUACACUGGUAUUUCUAUUUGAUAACCUGUUCUCUUUGGAAUUCCGGUUAGAAAUCAAAGGCUUACUUGAGUUUUAAUGCUUUCGGGACUUCAAAUGCUUUUCUAUCUUCCUAAUAAUAUAUUAACAUUUUCUGAAGACAACAUAUAUGUGGAAAACAACAUUAUUUACUCAAAUAAUUUUUUUUGAAAAAUGGACCAAAAAAAAAGAAAAACCAACAA